AUUUAUGAAUAUCUCUCAUGCUCAUUUUAUAAUCAGUUACACUCUAAACUCUAAUGUCUUCUGUUUUCUGUGGAUCAUACAUUACAGACAAAUAUUGUUCUCAACAGUAAAUUACAAAAAUGGUCCCUGCGUUUUCUGAUUAUUACCGUGUUUACUCCACACUUGCAUUCAUGUUGCUUUUGGUUCAUGGAGCAAAAUCGAUAUGAAACCUUGUAAUAAGGAUUAAAUUCAGAAAGUCCCAGGGACCAAAAUUGAUAUGAAACCUUGUAAUAAGGACCAAAUUUGAAAAAAAAAACAAAGUUUCAGUAUUGGACUAAAAAGCACAAGUACCAUUUUUUUUUAAUCUGCUAUUUUCUUAAUUAACAGAGCAUGGAGAAGGGCUACAAGUUCUUCAC
This 395-nucleotide long non-coding RNA is filed under the name Lactuca sativa (garden lettuce). RNAcentral's name for it is "long non-coding RNA (LSAT_LNC001088)". Lineage: Eukaryota; Viridiplantae; Streptophyta; Magnoliopsida; Asterales; Asteraceae. The record is from RNAcentral.